GUGAGUAGUUCAGAGUUUGAUCCUGGCUCAGGAUGAACGCUAGCGGCAGGCCUAACACAUGCAAGUCGAGGGGCAGCGGGGAUGAAGCUUGCUUCAUCUGCCGGCGACCGGCGCACGGGUGAGUAACACGUAUGCAACCUGCCCGCCACAGGGGGAUAAACGCUGGAAACGGCGCCUAAUACCCCAUACUAUCGCUAAGCUGCAUGGCAUGGCGAUGAAAACUCCGGUGGUGGCGGAUGGGCAUGCGGCGCAUUAGCUAGUUGGAGGGGUAACGGCCCACCAAGGCGACGAUGCGUAGGGGUUCUGAGAGGAAGGUCCCCCACACUGGUACUGAGACACGGACCAG
RNAcentral lists this ribosomal RNA (346 nucleotides) under uncultured bacterium. Its description in RNAcentral is "bacterial SSU rRNA". It matches the Rfam family "Bacterial small subunit ribosomal RNA", at positions 1 to 334 of the family's 1533-position model. The record is from RNAcentral.